CGUGUUUUCUUUUUUCGUAAAAAAAAAAAAAAAAAUAUUAAAAGAAAAAUCAAAUAGAAAAAUGCACAAGCUAACACCAACAUUUCACCAAAAAAAGCAAUAUUACAGUCUUUGGUGUAAGCGCACUCUUGCAAAAACAUAUUCCAGUUUGAGGGGAGGAGGGGAAAUAAAUAAAUUGAACCUGUACAAAAUCACAGCAUAUUCACAUACACUUUGUAUAAACAAUGACAAGGCUAGCACAAUCGAUCACAGCAUACACAGAUUUCUAUACACCCUGGGGAAAGUUUCUAUGUCUGGGUCUCUGAGCGUGAAUUAGCAGUAUUUAGUAGGAUUGUAUAAUGUGGACACUGGUAUAAUAUUAUAGUCUGUCUGUUUGAGAUAUAUGG
Pelobates cultripes (western spadefoot toad) is the source of this 386-nucleotide non-coding RNA. Lineage: Eukaryota; Metazoa; Chordata; Amphibia; Anura; Pelobatidae. The record is from the annotation of a GenBank genome assembly.